This 256-nucleotide ribosomal RNA is filed under the name uncultured bacterium. Its description in RNAcentral is "partial 16S ribosomal RNA". It matches the Rfam family "Bacterial small subunit ribosomal RNA", at positions 524 to 776 of the family's 1533-position model. The record is from RNAcentral.
UACGUAGGGUGCGAGCGUUAAUCGGAAUUACUGGGCGUAAAGCGUGCGCAGGCGGUGAGCUGUGUCCGAUGUGAAAGCCCCGGGCUUAACCUGGGAAUGGCAUUGGAAACUGGCUCGCUGGAGUGUGGCAGAGGGGGGGUGGAAUUCCGCGUGUAGCAGUGAAAUGCGUAGAGAUGCGGAGGAACACCGAUGGCGAAGGCAGCCCCCUGGGCUAACACUGACGCUCAGGCACGAAAGCGUGGGGGGAGCAAACAGG